GCUGGCGGCGUGCCUAACACAUGCAAGUCGAACGAGAAAGUGGAGCAAUCCAUGAGUAAAGUGGCGACCGGGUGAGUAACACGUGACUAACCUACCUCUUAGUGGGGAAUAACUCCGGGAAACCGGGGCUAAUACCGCAUAACACCGCAAGGUCAAAGCAGCAAUGCGCUGGGAGAGGGGGUCGCGGCUGAUUAGCUAGUUGGCGGGGUAACGGCCCACCAAGGCGAAGAUCGGUAUCCGGCCUGAGAGGGCGCACGGACACACUGGAACUGAAACACGGUCCAGACUCCUACGGGAGGCAGCAGUGGGGAAUUUUGCGCAAUGGGGGAAACCCUGACGCAGCAACGCCGCGUGGAGGAUGAAGCCCUUUGGGGCGUAAACUCCUUUCGACCAAGACGAUAAUGACGGUACUGGUGGAAGAAGCACCGGCUAACUCUGUGCCAGCAGCCGCGGUAAUACAGAGGGUGCAAGCGUUGUUCGGAAUUAUUGGGCGUAAAGGGCGCGUAGGCGGUGCCUCAAGUCACCUGUGAAAUCUCUGGGCUUAACUCAGAGCCUGCAGGCGAAACUGUGGUGCUG
This 576-nucleotide ribosomal RNA is filed under the name uncultured bacterium. RNAcentral describes it as "bacterial SSU rRNA". It matches the Rfam family "Bacterial small subunit ribosomal RNA", at positions 35 to 643 of the family's 1533-position model. The record is from RNAcentral.